CCACUCGCACUGUAGUUGACUCAGCUAGUCUGUUGAAGGUCUCAGAGGAAUCAAAUCCGGGAAGCGAUAGGCUGAUUAAAUUCCGUCACUAGCUCCAAAUGGUUUAUAGCUGGACCUGUUAGAAGGCUCUGUACUUCAUAAAGCAGAAUUGUAGAGAGGUAUAAAGAACCAUGAAACUUGAUGGAUUGAGAUUAUAGACGUAUGGGUGCAAAUUUACAUGCCUCGUUUCACAUAGUUAAAUUAAUUGAAGAAUUCCCUUUACUUUUCAUGAUGUAAAUGUGUUGCUAUCAUGUGGUGGAAUUAUUAUUUCUUUGGUUUCUUUUUUUUUUUUCUUUUUCUUCUUUUCUCUUUCUAAAUAGAGUUUCUUUGUUNNNNNNNNNNNNNNNNNNNNNNNNNNNNNNNNNNNNNNNNNNNNNNNNNNNNNNNNNNNNNNNNNNNNNNNNNNNNNNNNNNNNNNNNNNNNNNNNNNNNNNNNNNNNNNNNNNNNNNNNAAACUCAGAUUGUGGUUUAAGGAUUCAACUCUAGAUUUUGAGUGUUUUUUUUUUCCAUUCUUUAUGUAUUAUUUUAUUUAUUUAUUUACACUUUAGAGUUUCUUUUUUAAGACAGGUUAUAUUAAUCAAGUUAUGAAGACUAAACCAUCAUAUAUAAACUUAUAAUUGCGUCAAAGGAUUGCAGUGGAAAAAUAUUAUCUAACAAGUACUUUCUGGCCAAAAAGUGAACAAAAGCAUUCAUCUUGUUAUUGACAUGAAAGAAAGAGAUAUUCCUAAAAUUGGAUAGCAAUGUAAGAGAGUAAGCCACAAUGUCCUUAGAGGAUAUGGUUUGUAGCUUCUCUUAUAUGGUUUUAAUAAUCAAAAGGAAAUCUCCUUCAAAAAUUUAUUGUUGUUCCUUGAAGCAAAACUGACUGCUUCUCUACAUGCCAUGGCUUCUAAAACCUUUGGGUUAGUAAUGUAAGGAAUCCUUCUACAAUUCCAGGUAAAGGGUCUUCCUUCAUCAUCGCGAGCUAUCCAUGCAAUAGAACCUCUGUUUUUACAUGAAUCCAUUACUUCAUCAAAGUUAAAUUUCGUAACAUUCUUCAGAGGUGGUUUCCAAAUUGAAGGUUGAGAGGGAGAACGAGAUUUAUGGACUGCGUGUUGUAGGCUUUGUUGUGCCAAAAGAAACUCGUCUAAGCUAGUUAUGGUAUUGUUCAUGAUCUGAUUUGGGGAGAGACAUUUGUUAUUAAAAAUUUAUUCAUUCUGUCCUUUCUAUAGAUGUCAUAAUAUGAAGUUUGCUAACUUAAAAACUUUAUCAUCCUGAUAUGCACACUUCAGAUAGUUUAUAAGCUCUAUUCAACAUAAUGCUGGAGAAUUGCCAUUCAAUAAAGAAGAUUGUAGCAUAAGGGGAGAGAUAAUCCAAACCGGCGAGGCUUGCGGAUAGGUGAAGAAAAGAUGGAAAAGAUGGAUAACUGACUCAGGUUCUCCACAAAAUUUACACAUUUCAUCUCGGAGUAAGAUUUUAUGUAGGCGUUCAUUGGUUGGCAAACGAUCCUAUAGAAACUUCCAGAUGAAGAUCGAAAUUUUUGGUGGGAGCUUGAAAGCCCAAAGAUUUUUCAAGCUUGCUCUGGGACUAAGGAGGUAUGACUAAUUGAGGGCCUCAAGGAUAUCUAGGAGAUAGAUGAAUUCAUAUUAAGAGCAACCCAAUAUCCAAAUUUGAUUGUAAGGUCUCGAGAAUUUAUGAAAUGCUAUACUCGCUCGUCUUCUUGACGAAAAAGAUUGAUUGGAAUGGCAAGAAUAUUUGGAAUCUACUCCUCUUCGAAAACUCUUUGAAGUUUUUGAAUGUCCCAAGCAUUUAAGGAGGUAUCUAUCAACUAACGGACCUAAUGCAGCAUUAGAUUAGCAUUAUGUUUGCAUCUUGGUAAAUUAGGGAAAGACUUUUGGAUUCAUCUAUUAAACUGACAUAAAAUUGAUCUCGUUCAUCGUUAACAUUCCAUCUAACCCCUUCUUUCUAGAAUUUGUAGUCCCCAUAAAAUACACUGCCAUAUCCACGAAGGUCUGGCUCCUUGGAACGCCUGCAUAUAAUCAGAAUGAGGGAAAUAUCUGCCUUUAAGAGUACAAGCCACAAGCGAGAAUAGAUUCUUUAAUAAGUUGCCACCCUUGUUUGGCGAGGAGUGCCAUGUUAAACAAUUUGAGGUCUCAGAAAUCCAUACUCCCUUUAAACUUUGGAUGACACAUACUAUGCCACGAUGCCCAAUGGAUCUUUUCACCAAAAAUUUGCCCUCAAGCUAUUGAUGGAUUGACAAAAGGUAGAAGGAAACCGGAAGCAACUCAUAGCAAAAAUCAGAAUGGCCACCGCCACUGCUUUAAUAAGAGUUUCUCUCUACCUCCUUGCAAGAGAAGGUUCCUUUUCCAACCUGCUAUCUUAUUUUGAAUUUUAGCCUAGAUAGAAGCAAAGGUCUGAGAUUUGGAUUUGGAAAUGAUAGUAGGAAGACCUAAAAAACUAUAGAGUCCUCCUAUAUUUGGAAUUUCUAACCAUGAAAAAAUCUCUUCUCUCACUUAAACUGGAGUAUUUGGACUAAAGAAGAUGGUUGACUUGACUAAGUUGACCAUUUGGCCGCUAGCUAUAGAGUAAUUCUGCAAUAUGCUUCUGACCUUUCUUGCUUCACUCAUAUUUGCCCUUGAAAAUUGAAUUGAAUCAUCUGCAAAGAGGAGGUGCUUGAUAGAUGGAAUUCUCUUAGAGAUAACAAUAUCUUCAAUAUCGAAUUGGUGAAUCGAGUGUGAAAGACCUUCGAUACAAAAGAGGUACUGGAAGGGUGAUAAAGGGUUGCCUUGACGAAGUCCUCUAGCCAAUUUAAUCAACUUGGAUCUAUACCCAUUUACUCGUACAAUGUAGGAGACUAUAGAGACACAUUCCAUAACCUAACUAAUCCAUUGUUGAUGAAAGCCCAAACACAUCAGCAUCUGCUUUAAGAAAGUCCAUUCCACAAUAUCAUAGGCCUUGUUGAUGUUCAAUUUUAGAGCAAAACCCCUCUUACCACCCUUACUACGAGUCUUAAGAUAAUGCAUGAUCUUAUGACUAAUGAUAAUAUUGUUUGAGAUCAAUCUCCCUUUAACAAAGGCAUUCUACUCGUUUGUGAUAAGAUGAGGCAUUAGAGGUUGAAGUCUAUGGGUAAGGACAUUAGAUAUAAUCUUGAAAAUAACAUUGAAAAGACUAAUAGGAUGAAGUCCUUCAUUGAAACCACACUUUUCGUUUUGGGGAUUAGAGUGAUUACCGUAUGAUUGACACUCCGAAGCAUCUUUCCACUCUCAAAGAAGUUCUUGACCGCAUAUAUUACCUCCUCUCCUAUAACAUGCUGAUAAUGCUGAAAGAAAUAGCCAGUCAUGCCAUCAUCUCCAGGUAGUUCCUCACCCGGGGGACCCAAGAGGGUGAUAUUUAAAGACAAACUUUGGGUUAAUGAUUCCGACAUCAUUAUGUUUGUCUUUUUGGAUAAGAGAGAGGGA
This 3473-nucleotide long non-coding RNA is filed under the name Manihot esculenta (cassava). RNAcentral's name for it is "long non-coding RNA (MESC_LNC006738)". Lineage: Eukaryota; Viridiplantae; Streptophyta; Magnoliopsida; Malpighiales; Euphorbiaceae. The record is from RNAcentral.